AUUCUGGCUCAGGAUAAACGCUGGCGGCGUGCCUAAUACAUGCAAGUCGAUCGGCAGACAGUGAGCUUGCUUAAUGUCUGCAGAGGCGAACGGGUGAGUAAUACAUAAGCAACCUGCCCACGAAGACUGGGAUAAUCCCUGGAAACGGGGACUAAUACCGGAUAGGUAACGAGAUCGCAUGAUCUUGUUAUUAAAGGUUCAAAACACUGGUGGAUGGGCUUAUGGCGCAUUAGCUAGUUGGUGAGGUAACGGCCCACCAAGGCGAUGAUGCGUAGCCGGCCUGAGAGGGUGAACGGCCACAUUGGGACUGAGACACGGCCCAAACUCCUACGGGAGGCAGCAGUGGGGAAUAUUGCACAAUGGGCGCAAGCCUGAUGCAGCAACGCCGCCGUGAGUGAAGAAGUAUUUCGGUAUGUAAAGCUCUAUCGGCAGGGAAGAAAGGCCCGCAAGGGAGAUGACGGUACCUGACUAAGAAGCCCCGGCUAACUACGUGCCAGCAGCCGC
RNAcentral lists this ribosomal RNA (504 nucleotides) under uncultured bacterium. Its description in RNAcentral is "bacterial SSU rRNA". It matches the Rfam family "Bacterial small subunit ribosomal RNA", at positions 16 to 518 of the family's 1533-position model. The record is from RNAcentral.